CCCUUAGAUGUUCUGGGCUGCACGCGUGCUACAAUGGCGUUUCCAGCAAGUCUGCGAACCCGAGAGGGCCAGCGGAUCUUCGAAUUGGCGUCGUGAUCGGGACAGUCGAUUGCAAUUAUUUGACUCAAACGAGGAAUUCCUUGUGAUCGCGAUUCAUCAUAUCGCGCUGAAUACGUCCCUGCCCUUUGUACACACCGCCCGUCGCUCCUACCGAUUGAGCGAUCCGGUAAAUGUUUUGGAUUGGUGCCGGGGCGGCUAGCUGCCGGUCGCUACGAAAUUUUGUGAACCUUAUCGCUUAGAGGAAGGAAAAGUCGUAACA
Molecule: ribosomal RNA, 319 nt
Filed under: uncultured eukaryote
Lineage: Eukaryota
Description: partial 18S ribosomal RNA
Rfam family: Eukaryotic small subunit ribosomal RNA
Source: RNAcentral